UUUCGACACACUAUCAUUAACUGAAUCCAUAGGUUAAUGAGGCGAACCGGGGGAACUGAAACAUCUAAGUACCCCGAGGAAAAGAAAUCAACCGAGAUUCCCCCAGUAGCGGCGAGCGAACGGGGAGGAGCCCAGAGCCUGAAUCAGUGUGUGUGUUAGUGGAAGCGUCUGGAAAGGCGCGCGAUACAGGGUGACAGCCCCGUACACAAAAAUGCACAUACUGUGAGCUCGAUGAGUAGGGCGGGACACGUGGUAUCCUGUCUGAAUAUGGGGGGACCAUCCUCCAAGGCUAAAUACUCCUGACUGACCGAUAGUGAACCAGUACCGUGAGGGAAAGGCGAAAAGAA
RNAcentral lists this ribosomal RNA (347 nucleotides) under Escherichia coli. RNAcentral's name for it is "partial 23S ribosomal RNA". It matches the Rfam family "Bacterial large subunit ribosomal RNA", at positions 138 to 523 of the family's 2925-position model. The record is from RNAcentral. Lineage: Bacteria; Pseudomonadati; Pseudomonadota; Gammaproteobacteria; Enterobacterales; Enterobacteriaceae.